ACCCACUGUGGCUGCCGGGGAAAAGAAGGGAUCACUUGAUAGUAGAUGUAGCUCUCUUGGCAGGUCCUUAAUUGAUUCUAGACGGGGAGAGCAAUGAAGACCUCCAUUGGAGCUUCAAUCCUGCUCUUGGGGCUGCAGCUGGACUGGGUCAGCCUUGGAGAGAAGGUGGAGCAGAGUCCUACCAUGAGUGUCCAGGAGGGAAACAGCUCUGUUAUUACCUGCACUUAUACAGACAGUACUUCAAGCUACUUCCCUUGGUAUAAGCAAGAACCUGGAAAAGGUCUCCGGUUACUUACAUACAUUCGAUCGAAUGGGGUCAAGAAGGAAGAAGAAAGACUCACUGUCUCAUUGAAUAAGACCGCCAAGCAUUUCUCCCUGCACAUCGCAGUCACCCAGCCUGAAGACUCAGCUGUCUACUUCUGUGCAGCAAGUGCACACUGCUUCUGAGACACCUGCUCCCUGUACUCAAACCUGUGACCAGGGCAGCUCCCUUCCUUUGGCAUAAACCUUCAAGUAU
Phacochoerus africanus (Common warthog) is the source of this 517-nucleotide non-coding RNA. The record is from the annotation of a RefSeq genome assembly. Lineage: Eukaryota; Metazoa; Chordata; Mammalia; Artiodactyla; Suidae.